ACUCCUACGGGAGGCAGCAGUGGGGAAUAUUGCACAAUGGGCGGAAGCCUGAUGCAGCAACGCCGCGUGAGGGAUGACGGCCUUCGGGUUGUAAACCUCUUUUAGCAAGGAAGAAGCGUGAGUGACGGUACUUGCAGAAAAGCACCGGCUAACUACGUGCCAGCAGCCGCGGUAAUACGUAGGGUGCAAGCGUUAUCCGGAAUUAUUGGGCGUAAAGAGCUCGUAGGCGGUUUGUCGCGUCUGCUGUGAAAACCCGAGGCUCAACCUCGGGCCUGCAGUGGGUACGGGCAGACUAGAGUGCGGUAGGGGAGAUUGGAAUUCCUGGUGUAGCGGUGGAAUGCGCAGAUAUCAGGAGGAACACCGAUGGCGAAGGCAGAUCUCUGGGCCGUAACUGACGCUGAGGAGCGAAAGGGUGGGGAGCAAACAGGCUUAGAUACCCUGGUA
This 444-nucleotide ribosomal RNA is filed under the name uncultured bacterium. RNAcentral describes it as "bacterial SSU rRNA". It matches the Rfam family "Bacterial small subunit ribosomal RNA", at positions 335 to 792 of the family's 1533-position model. The record is from RNAcentral.